RNAcentral lists this ribosomal RNA (1343 nucleotides) under uncultured bacterium. RNAcentral's name for it is "16S ribosomal RNA". It matches the Rfam family "Bacterial small subunit ribosomal RNA", at positions 28 to 1378 of the family's 1533-position model. The record is from RNAcentral.
GACGAACGCUGGCGGCGUGCUUAACACAUGCAAGUCGAACGGAAAGGCCCUGCUUUUGUGGGGUGCUCGAGUGGCGAACGGGUGAGUAACACGUGAGUAACCUGCCCUUGACUUUGGGAUAACUUCAGGAAACUGGGGCUAAUACCGGAUAGGAGCUCCUGCUGCAUGGUGGGGGUUGGAGAGUUUCGGCGGUUGGGGAUGGACUCGCGGCUUAUCAGCUUGUUGGUGGGGUAGUGGCUUACCAAGGCUUUGACGGGUAGCCGGCCUGAGAGGGUGACCGGCCACAUUGGGACUGAGAUACGGCCCAGACUCCUACGGGAGGCAGCAGUGGGGAAUAUUGCACAAUGGGCGGAAGCCUGAUGCAGCAACGCCGCGUGCGGGAUGACGGCCUUCGGGUUGUAAACCGCUUUCGCCUGUGACGAAGCGUGAGUGACGGUAAUGGGUAAAGAAGCACCGGCUAACUACGUGCCAGCAGCCGCGGUGAUACGUAGGGUGCGAGCGUUGUCCGGAUUUAUUGGGCGUAAAGGGCUCGUAGGUGGUUGAUCGCGUCGGAAGUGUAAUCUUGGGGCUUAACCCUGAGCGUGCUUUCGAUACGGGUUGACUUGAGGAAGGUAGGGGAGAAUGGAAUUCCUGGUGGAGCGGUGGAAUGCGCAGAUAUCAGGAGGAACACCAGUGGCGAAGGCGGUUCUCUGGGCCUUUCCUGACGCUGAGGAGCGAAAGCGUGGGGAGCGAACAGGCUUAGAUACCCUGGUAGUCCACGCUGUAAACGGUGGGUACUAGGUGUGGGGUCCAUUCCACGGGUUCCGUGCCGUAGCUAACGCUUUAAGUACCCCGCCUGGGGAGUACGGCCGCAAGGCUAAAACUCAAGGGAAUUGACGGGGCCCCGCACAAGCGGCGGAGCAUGCGGAUUAAUUCGAUGCAACGCGUAGAACCUUACCUGGGUUUGACAUGGAUCGGGAGUGCUCAGAGAUGGGUGUGCCUCUUUUGGGGUCGGUUCACAGGUGGUGCAUGCCUGUCGUCAGCUCGUGUCGUGAGACGUUGGGUUAAGUCCCGCAACGAGCGCAACCCUUGUUCACUGUUGCCAGCACGUUAUGGUGGGGACUCAGUGGAGACCGCCGGGGUCAACUCGGAGGAAGGUGGGGAUGACGUCAAGUCAUCAUGCCCCUUAUGUCCAGGGCUUCACGCAUGCUACAAUGGCUGGUACAGAGAGUGGCGAGCCUGUGAGGGUGAGCGAAUCUCGGAAAGCCGGUCUCAGUUCGGAUUGGGGUCUGCAACUCGACCUCAUGAAGUCGGAGUCGCUAGUAAUCGCAGAUCAGCAACGCUGCGGUGAAUACGUUCCCGGG